UACAGGGGGUGCUAGCGUUGUUCGGAAUUACUGGGCGUAAAGGGCGCGUAGGCGGUUUUGUAAGUCAGGAGUGAAAGCCCGGAGCUCAACUCCGGAACUGCCAUUGAAACUGUGAAACUUGAGGACGAGAGAGGUGAGUGGAAUUCCCAGUGUAGAGGUGAAAUUCGUAGAUAUUCGGAAGAACACCAGUGGCGAAGGCGACUUACUGGACACAUAUUGACGCUGAGGUGCGAAAGCGUGGGGAGCAAACAGG
Molecule: ribosomal RNA, 253 nt
Filed under: uncultured bacterium
Lineage: Bacteria
Description: partial 16S ribosomal RNA
Rfam family: Bacterial small subunit ribosomal RNA
Source: RNAcentral